CAAAAGCGUAUAUUAAAGUUGUUGCAGUUAAAAAGCUCGUAGUUGAACCUUGGGCUUGGCUGGCCGGUCCAUCUUUUUUGAUGCGUACUGGACCCAGCCGAGCCUUUCCUUCUGGCUAGCCUUUUGGCGAACCAGGACUCUUACUUUGAAAAAAUUAGAGUGUUCAAAGCAGGCCUUUGCUCGAAUAUAUUAGCAUGGAAUAAUAGAAUAGGACGUUAUGGUUCUAUUUUGUUGGUUUCUAGGACCAUCGUAAUGAUUAAUAGGGACGGUCGGGGGUAUCAGUAUUCAGUUGUCAGAGGUGAAAUUCUUGGAUUUACUGAAGACUAACUACUGCGAAAGCAUUUACCAAGGACGUUUUCAUUAA
This 364-nucleotide ribosomal RNA is filed under the name uncultured eukaryote. RNAcentral's name for it is "partial 18S ribosomal RNA". It matches the Rfam family "Eukaryotic small subunit ribosomal RNA", at positions 592 to 976 of the family's 1831-position model. The record is from RNAcentral.